Molecule: ribosomal RNA, 468 nt
Filed under: uncultured bacterium
Lineage: Bacteria
Description: partial 16S ribosomal RNA
Rfam family: Bacterial small subunit ribosomal RNA
Source: RNAcentral
GACGAACGCUGGCGGCGUGCUUAACACAUGCAAGUCGAACGGAAAGGCCCUGCUUUUGUGGGGUGCUCGAGUGGCGAACGGGUGAGUAACACGUGAGUAACCUGCCCUUGACUUUGGGAUAACUUCAGGAAACUGGGGCUAAUACCGGAUAGGAGCUCCUGCUGCAUGGUGGGGGUUGGAAAGUUUCGGCGGUUGGGGAUGGACUCGCGGCUUAUCAGCUUGUUGGUGGGGUAGUGGCUUACCAAGGCUUUGACGGGUAGCCGGCCUGAGAGGGUGACCGGCCACAUUGGGACUGCGAUACGGCCCAGUCUCCUACGGGAGGCAGCAGUGGGGAAUAUUGCACAAUGGGCGGAAGCCUGAUGCAGCAACGCCGCGUGCGGGAUGACGGCCUUCGGGUUGUAAACCGCUUUCGCCUGUGACGAAGCGUGAGUGACGGUAAUGGGUAAAGAAGCACCGGCUAACUACGUG